AGCAGCCGCGGUAAUUCCAGCUCCAAUAGCGUAUAUUAAAGUUGUUGCAGUUAAAAAGCUCGUAGUUGAAUUUCGGGAUCAAUAUGCUGGUCGUGCCAUUGGUACGUACUAGUAUUAUUGGUUUCUUCCUUCUGAUGAAUCAUGAUGUCAUUAAGUUGAUGUCAUGGGGAAUCAGGACUGUUACUUUGAAAAAUUAGAGUGUUUAAAGCAGGCUCGCGCUUGAAUACAUUAGCAUGGAAUAAUGAAAUAGGACGUUUGAUUCUAUUUUGUUGGUUUCUAGAAUUGACGUAAUGAUUAAUAGGGAUAGUUGGGGGCAUUAGUAUUCAAUUGUCAGAGGUGAAAUUCUUGGAUUUAUUGAAGACUAACUACUGCGAAAGCAUUUGCCAAGGAUGUUUUCAUUAAUCAAGAACGAAAGUUAGGGGAUCGAAGACGAUCAGAUACCGUCGUAGUCUUAACCAUAAACUAUGCCGACUAGGGAUCGGAUGAUGUUAAUUUUUAAUU
RNAcentral lists this ribosomal RNA (501 nucleotides) under uncultured Glomus. RNAcentral describes it as "SSU rRNA". It matches the Rfam family "Eukaryotic small subunit ribosomal RNA", at positions 569 to 1076 of the family's 1831-position model. Lineage: Eukaryota; Fungi; Glomeromycota; Glomeromycetes; Glomerales; Glomeraceae. The record is from RNAcentral.